UGCUCCAUAGCUAAGUGGUUAAAAUGCCAGUCUAGUAAACUGGGAUCGUGAGUUCGAUCCCCAAUGGAGCCU
This 72-nucleotide transfer RNA is filed under the name Dreissena polymorpha. It matches the Rfam family "tRNA". Rfam says of the family: Transfer RNA (tRNA) molecules are approximately 80 nucleotides in length. Their secondary structure includes four short double-helical elements and three loops (D, anti-codon, and T loops). The record is from Rfam by way of RNAcentral. Lineage: Eukaryota; Metazoa; Mollusca; Bivalvia; Myida; Dreissenidae.